GUCCACGCCCUAAACGAUGUCAACUGGUUGUUGGACGGCUUGCUGUUCAGUAACGAAGCUAACGCGUGAAGUUGACCGCCUGGGGAGUACGGCCGCAAGGUUGAAACUCAAAGGAAUUUACGGGACCCGGCACAAGCGGUGGAUGAUGUGGUUUAAUUCGAUGCAACGCGAAAAACCUUAACCUACCCUUGACAUGUCAGGAAUCCCGUAGAGAUAUGGGAGUGCUCGAAAGAGAAUCUGAACACAGGUGCUGCAUGGCCGUCGU
This 265-nucleotide ribosomal RNA is filed under the name uncultured bacterium. RNAcentral's name for it is "partial 16S ribosomal RNA". It matches the Rfam family "Bacterial small subunit ribosomal RNA", at positions 793 to 1055 of the family's 1533-position model. The record is from RNAcentral.